This 497-nucleotide ribosomal RNA is filed under the name uncultured bacterium. Its description in RNAcentral is "partial 16S ribosomal RNA". It matches the Rfam family "Bacterial small subunit ribosomal RNA", at positions 28 to 507 of the family's 1533-position model. The record is from RNAcentral.
GACGAACGCUGGCGGCGUGCCUAAUACAUGCAAGUUGAGCGCUGAAGGUUGGUACUUGUACCAACUGGAUGAGCAGCGAACGGGUGAGUAACGCGUGGGGAAUCUGCCUUUGAGCGGGGGACAACAUUUGGAAACGAAUGCUAAUACCGCAUAAAAACUUUAAACACAAGUUUUAAGUUUGAAAGAUGCAAUUGCAUCACUCAAAGAUGAUCCCGCGUUGUAUUAGCUAGUUGGUGAGGUAAAGGCUCACCAAGGCGAUGAUACAUAGCCGACCUGAGAGGGUGAGCGGCCACAUUGGGACUGAGACACGGCCCAAACUCCUACAGGAGGCAGCAGUAGGGAAUCUUCGGCAAUGGGCGAAAGUCUGACCGAGCAACGCCGCGUGAGGGAAGAAGGUUUUCGGAUCGUAAAACUCUGUUGGUAGAGAAGAACGUUGGUGAGAGUGGAAAGCUCAUCAAGUGACGGUAACUACCCAGAAAGGGACGGCUAACUACGUG